GAAAUCAUACUAUACAGAAUCAUUUCUGUAGUGUGUAUUUCGCGAUCCCAACCAAUGUUCGACUUUCUCUAAACCGCGGC
This 80-nucleotide small nucleolar RNA is filed under the name Oesophagostomum dentatum (nodular worm). RNAcentral describes it as "Small nucleolar RNA U3". It matches the Rfam family "Small nucleolar RNA U3", at positions 1 to 83 of the family's 219-position model. From Rfam's summary of the family: Small nucleolar RNAs (snoRNAs) are involved in the processing and modification of rRNA in the nucleolus. There are two main classes of snoRNAs: the box C/D class, and the box H/ACA class. The record is from Rfam by way of RNAcentral. Lineage: Eukaryota; Metazoa; Nematoda; Chromadorea; Rhabditida; Strongylidae.